RNAcentral lists this ribosomal RNA (468 nucleotides) under uncultured bacterium. Its description in RNAcentral is "partial 16S ribosomal RNA". It matches the Rfam family "Bacterial small subunit ribosomal RNA", at positions 28 to 507 of the family's 1533-position model. The record is from RNAcentral.
GACGAACGCUGGCGGCGUGCUUAACACAUGCAAGUCGAACGGGAAGGCCCUGCUUUUGUGGGGUGCUCGAGUGGCGAACGGGUGAGUAACACGUGAGUAACCUGCCCUUGACUUUGGGAUAACUUCAGGAAACUGGGGCUAAUACCGGAUAGGAGCUCCUGCUGCAUGGUGGGGGUUGGAAAGUUUCGGCGGUUGGGGAUGGACUCGCGGCUUAUCAGCUUGUUGGUGGGGUAGUGGCUUACCAAGGCUUUGACGGGUAGCCGGCCUGAGAGGGUGACCGGCCACAUUGGGACUGAGAUACGGCCCAGACUCCUACGGGAGGCAGCAGUGGGGAAUAUUGCACAAUGGGCGGAACCCUGAUGCAGCAACGCCGCGUGCGGGAUGACGGCCUUCGGGUUGUAAACCGCUUUCGCCUGUGACGAAGCGUGAGUGACGGUAAUGGGUAAAGAAGCACCGGCUAACUACGUG